CCAGGUGACCCUGUGACUCAUAGGGUCCAAUUCAUAUCCAAGAUAGAACUAUGAGGGUAACUUCACUGGUCACCCUAUGAUUAACACACGACGACUCGUAUAGAGUCACAACUCAUUGAGUCUAGUCAUGAUCAUGACACGACCCAAAUCAGGGCCUAGUCAUGUCGGACAUCUCAAGUCCAACCAGGACCAGAGAUCACCCCCAAUACCCUACCAUUACAAACCCUACACCACAUAUCAGAUGAAUUUCAAAUAUAUAAUAGGAUAGAACAAUAAAAUCCAAAGACAUGAUAGUAAGCUUAAAACCAAAGUUGAAAUCCACAACCAAUUAACCAACCCUUUUCAAUCCCAAUACCAAUACCAAUAUUAAGGUUAUCACUAAUACCGACACCACCCAUGACCAUAGUUGUUCGAUAAAGCCUCUAACCAGAAUCAAAGAACAUCCGAUCGAGACCAUAGCCAAAACCAAAACUAAAGAAAUAGCAAAAAUAAAAAGAAGUUCAUAGCAUGAAAUGGAGUCUUUCGGAACAUGGAAGCUCACCACUUCAAUCUGACUCAAAGUUGUCCCCAAAUCCAAGUCAUUGAGCAGGAGGAAUGGUAGUAUGGACAGUUCCUACAUCGCGUGGGGAUACAAUGC
Molecule: long non-coding RNA, 637 nt
Filed under: Capsicum annuum
Lineage: Eukaryota; Viridiplantae; Streptophyta; Magnoliopsida; Solanales; Solanaceae
Description: long non-coding RNA (CANN_LNC005516)
Source: RNAcentral